This is a long non-coding RNA of Sinocyclocheilus grahami, 863 nucleotides long. The record is from Ensembl. NCBI's taxonomy places the organism in Eukaryota, Metazoa, Chordata, Actinopteri, Cypriniformes, Cyprinidae.
CAGACGCAUGACUACACGCGCUGGACAACAGCGGCCACAACAACACAUACAAAUACAGCUCCUGCUGAUGACGGCUCAGUUACAGACUCUCAGCAGCACAUAUUACAGCUUGUUAGCAAACAACCUGCGAUAAAGUACGAGAAGCAAGUGAAACGCGACACAUUGAUUAAAGAAUGUCUUUGGAGUACACAUCUACCCAACAGAAGCAGAGUUCAAGGUAUCUCUCGGUCUGGCCUGCUCCGCCUCCAUCUUGGUCAUUCCAUUCCAGGUGUGUCUUUCACUCAUGGCCAGGUUUACCACCCCAGUUUUGUGGCAGCUGAUUCUCUUUGGUUUUGUGCCAGCCUCCUAACCACUGUCAGUACUGCCAACUUGUUUCGUUCUCUUGUCAUCUCAGCCAUCAUUGGUUGCCAGCCGACUUUCUUUGGUUUCUCCCCAGGUAUUGUGCCAUCCAGGCCUCUGUCGGUUGCCAGCCAACUUCCUUUGGUUUCGCCCCAGAUUUUGUGCCAUCCAGGCCACUGUUGGGUCAUCCCAACUUGCUGAGGUGGGGUUUGAACCCUUGCCUCUACUGUAAUCUUAUCCGCAACCACCGUGUGUUUAGCCACUAGUGCCAUCGGGGCUUUCACACUGACAGGUGACAUUUGGGGCACUUUGUUCAUAAUAUUUUAGGUUACAGCAAUUUAAUGUCAGCAAUAGAUGGAGUCGAACCGGGGUUUCCAAGUUUAAAACACAACACCUUAUGACUUGAGCCACAAAGUCUGGCAAGUUGAGCGAUGUUUUCGGAGGAAUUUUAUUGAGAGCUUUUUUUUUUUGUAAGAUUUAAUAAACAAGCAUUUUUGGGAUUUGAAUUUAUGUCUCUGUUGCAC